AUUCGCCCGCCGCGCGCGGCGGGCGGGGCGGGGGCACGGGGGGCCUACGGGAGGCAGCAGUGAGGAAUAUUGGUCAAUGGGCGAGAGCCUGAACCAGCCAAGUAGCGUGCAGGACGACUGCCCUAUGGGUUGUAAACUGCUUUUAUAGGGGAAUAAAGUGAGGAACGUGUUCCUUUUUGUAUGUACCCUAUGAAUAAGGACCGGCUAAUUCCGUGCCAGCAGCCGCGGUA
This 230-nucleotide ribosomal RNA is filed under the name uncultured soil bacterium. RNAcentral describes it as "partial 16S ribosomal RNA". It matches the Rfam family "Bacterial small subunit ribosomal RNA", at positions 282 to 522 of the family's 1533-position model. The record is from RNAcentral.